GAUGAACGCUGGCGGCGUGCCUAAUACAUGCCAGUCGAGCGAACGGACGAGAAGCUUGCUUCUCUGAUGUUAGCGGCGGACGGGUGAGUAACACGUGGAUAACCUACCUAUAAGACUGGGAUAACUUCGGGACACCGGAGCUAAUACCGGAUGAUAUUUUGAACCGCAUGGUUCAAAAGUGAAAGACGGUCUUGCUGUCACUUAUAGAUGGAUCCGCGCUGCAUUAGCUAGUUGGUAAGGUAACGGCUUACCAAGGCAACGAUGCAUAGCCGACCUGAGAGGGUGAUCGGCCACACUGGAACUGAGACACGGUCCAGACUCCUACGGGAGGCAGCAGUAGGGAAUCUUCCGCAAUGGGCGAAAGCCUGACGGAGCAACGCCGCGUGAGUGAUGAAGGUCUUCGGAUCGUAAAACUCUGUUAUUAGGGAAGAACAUAUGUGUAAGUAACUGUGCACAUCUUGACGGUACCUAAUCAGAAAGCCACGGCUAACUACGUG
Molecule: ribosomal RNA, 497 nt
Filed under: uncultured bacterium
Lineage: Bacteria
Description: partial 16S ribosomal RNA
Rfam family: Bacterial small subunit ribosomal RNA
Source: RNAcentral